GACCACGAUCCAACCCUAAAUACUAAUACCAGAUCGAUAGUGCACAAGUACCGUGAGGGAAAGGUGAAAAGAACUGAGGUGAUCAGAGUGAAAUAGAACCUGAAACCAUUUGCUUACAAUCAUUCAGAGCACUAUGUAGCAAUACAGUGUGAUGGACUGCCUUUUGCAUAAUGAGCCUGCGAGUUGUGGUGUCUGGCAAGGUUAAGCAAACGCGAAGCCGUAGCGAAAGCGAGUCUGAAUAGGGCGCUUAGUCAGAUGCUGCAGACCCGAAACGAAGUGAUCUAUCCAUGAGCAAGUUGAAGCUAGUGUAAGAACUAGUGGAGGACUGAACCCAUAGGCGUUGAAAAGCCCCGGGAUGACUUGUGGAUAGGGGUGAAAGGCCAAUCAAACUUCGUGAUAGCUGGUUCUCUCCGAAAUAUAUUUAGGUAUAGCGUUGUGUCGUAAUAUAAGGGGGUAGAGCACUGAAUGGGCUAGGGCAUACACCAAUGUACCAAACCCUAUCAAACUUCGAAUACCUUAUAUGUAAUCACAGCAGUCAGGCGGCGAGUGAUAAAAUCCGUCGUCAAGAGGGAAACAACCCAGACUACCAGCUAAGGUCCCUAAAUCUUACUUAAGUGGAAAACGAUGUGAAGUUACUUAAACAACCAGGAGGUUGGCUUAGAAGCAGCCAUCCUUUAAAGAAAGCGUAAUAGCUCACUGGUCUAGUGAUUUUGCGCGGAAAAUAUAACGGGGCUAAAGU
RNAcentral lists this ribosomal RNA (739 nucleotides) under Campylobacter jejuni. RNAcentral's name for it is "partial 23S ribosomal RNA". It matches the Rfam family "Bacterial large subunit ribosomal RNA", at positions 451 to 1188 of the family's 2925-position model. The record is from RNAcentral. Lineage: Bacteria; Pseudomonadati; Campylobacterota; Epsilonproteobacteria; Campylobacterales; Campylobacteraceae.